Molecule: long non-coding RNA, 2777 nt
Filed under: Androctonus crassicauda
Lineage: Eukaryota; Metazoa; Arthropoda; Arachnida; Scorpiones; Buthidae
Source: RNAcentral
CCGUCCUGGUCCCGCCAUUACUCCCGACUAGUCCUCCUUGACUCUAACCCAGGUAUGUCCCGAAUGUCGAGACUUUUACUUCUUUCCCUCCGCUCGAAUCUGUCUAAUCCGAUCCCCUGUUUUCCUUCACGCUUUAACGUCUGCCGGGUGACUCUCCCGGAUGCUCCCAUCCGCCAUUUUGCCUCCGGAAGAGGAGGAAGAGGCGGACCGAGGCCUCCGGGAGAAAAGAGUGCGCGCGGCUUUGUCUGUCUUCUGUCCACUGGCUUGCCACUCCAUUGUUUCCGCCACUCCUUCCUCACCUCCACCGCUUCCUCCCCGCUUUCUCUCCACCCGGCACAGCAGAAAGAAGACCGGCCAACCGUCCAUCAAUAAACUGUGACGUCGUCUGUCUCUGGUGUCAUUUCUUUCCGUCCGCGGAGGAGGACCGUCCGGUCGCGCGGGACGGCCGAUCGACCCGGUCCAUUUCCGGGGGCAGAGUCCACCUUCCGGCCGCCGUGGCGGUGGGGAAGAAGCGGUCGGUACUCCAAGCCCGGACAACUUCGCCUUCCCACCGUCCUCCGUGGCCGGCCCGCUUCGGCGCCGGCCGGAGCGACCGGUUACGGAAGAUUGCCCGCGGGUCGCCGCUAAGAGUCCGGAAUGCUAUAAAGAAGACAAACCCGACCGACUUGGCAAAGAACCCUACCCCCGUCCGCCAAAUUUCCGGGCGGAAAACCAUCCCAAAAGUCGUCUCCCGGACCGGUUGUCGGAGCGCUGCUUUUCGUUAACCGUACGGACGGUUACUUUUCCUCGCUCGAUCGAUGUAAGCUACAGACCAAGAAAAUCGAUGGGCUAACGGGUCCAUGGCCGACGAGGAAGGCGCUGCGCUGAAAGGCCAGAAGGGACGGCUACGGGCGGGUGUAAUCGCGGAUCUGACGCGACCGAACGGAACUAGUUAACGUCGGCGGGUACGCCCUCUAUCGGCAUUUAUUGCGGCGCGCUACACCAAAGGUCGGGGGAAAUGUUACCGCCGCCGUUGGCGAAAUACGGGAAAACGGCCUUUAUAAAGGGAAGCCAAAUUCGAUAAGAGCCACAGCUUUUCCCUCGAUUAAACUACCGCGGUUUAGAAACGGUUUGAUGGUUGGCAGCGGGAGCGGGCCGGAAAAAGUGCGGUACCGACCGUGCCUUUUUAAGUAACCGGCGGGUGGCAGUGGCCUCUACUCGGGGUAGGAAAGAAAGCGGGUAAGGGCUUUCCGUCUUUGGCCACCGGUGUGAAAUGGACCACCUAAAUUAGACCGCGUGCGGGGUGUAGAAGCGAAACUGGCCUUCUCCAUUUUUUCCGGGCGCCGCCGCCUGGAAUUUUAUUUAUUUGCAUCCCUAACCCGAGACAAAAUUGCCGUCAAAAUUUGGCCUGGGACGGAGGCCAAUAAGGCCUUACGGUCGGUCUUUUUAAGUGCACCGUACCGACGUGGUAAAGUGUCGUGGGUCGGAACGGGGACAAAAAUAAACUAGGUGGUAGUAGUAAAUAAUGACCGUUAUAUGGAAACCCGAGGAAAAAUAAUAGGCCCGCUGGUGUCCGGCAAUUCUGGCCUAAACACCGAAAUGAAAAGAUAAAAUUCUUCUAAAUUCCGGAAGGGAAGUAUUUAUUCUUCCCCAACACCGCCGCAUUUCCGUUGGCUGGCUAUCGACCGUAUUUGGGUAGAAAAGUCCCUUCGGACGCCAUAUUUCGGUAGCUAACGAAAAAUAAGGCGAUAAGGUAAAUCUCGGGACGGGAACGAAAUUAAAUAGGGCCAAACCGACGGCCGGCCUGGGUUUAUGGGGCCCUACCAAUGGGAUGACUUUGGCUAUCAAGCCGGAAGUAGGAUCCCUACCACUCUGUACUUCCCAAUUGAAAUAUUCGUUUAUACUUUCGGUAAAAACGAAUAUUUAGCUGGGAAGUACAGAGUGAUAGUCCUACUUUCUGUUCGUACUUUUACCUGGAAAUGACUACAGGUACGCCGUUAGACGGCUCUCUUAAUUCCGACAACGAAAUGGGAUGGGACCGGCUGGGCCGCUAUACCCUUCGGUGUCAUUGAGUGGAGAUGGAAAAAUAUCCGACCGCCAAAGAACAAUUCGAACUCGGUGAAAAACCAGAGUCGCGCUUAAAAUAUAAGCUUUUUUUUUUUUAUAUAUUGAUAUCAAUGUACCCAUACUACCGCCUGGAUGUGGUGCUACCGUGAACGAUAAAAGCGCGCGCAAUCUAGUUCGACUCGGGCCGACCUACUCUCAAAAUAUAUUCGAUGGUUAGCGCUAGGCCACUCCAAAAUUCUGAGGUUAUUACCGCGUAAUUACGCUUUUUAGAAAGGCCGGCAGUCGUUUAUUUAAAAAUGUUUUAUGGGCCGUGGUUACGACAACGUUAGUGACGCGAAUGGACCGAUUUCCGACCUAAGUGCCGCCUAAUUACGCCUUUUAUCGGGAGGUUUUAAAAGAUUGGCUACUCAAGGCCUUAGUUUAAUAAGGGCUGGGGCCGUCUCUGUUUCCAGCCAUAGACCACGGUAUUGUGUUAGAAUUAUUAAAUCUACUCCACACCUUAUAUAAAAUGUUUAGAAUUAUCGUCUUGAUUUUGCCCUCCGAUUAUACGGAUAUAACUUAUAACAUACCUAGAUUAUAUAAGCUAAUGCAAUCCGUAUGUAGGGUGUAUACGCCAGAUUUAAUAUUACGUAGGUAUAGAUAGAGUAUAAUUUUAACUAGAAAUUACCCGCUCAUAUAAAUAAGCGGAAAUAUAAUCUUAUAAUACUGUAUAUAAUGAAAAAAACAUCUGC